UAGACUUUGAUCCCAGCUCAGAAUCAAGCGCUGGCGGCGUGCCUAACACAUGCAAGUCGAACGCGAAAGUGGAGCAAUCCAUGAGUAGAGUGGCAAACGGGUGAGUAACGCGUGGGUGACCUGCCUUCGAGUGGGGGAUAACCUGUCGAAAGAUAGGCUAAUACCGCAUACGACCUACGGGUGAAAGCGGAGGACCGCAAGGCUUCGCACUAUUGGAGUGGCCGAUGCCCCAUUAGCUAGUUGGUGAGGUAAAAGCUCACCAAGGCGACGAUCCGUAGCUGGUCUGAGAGGACGACCAGCCACACUGGAACUGAGACACGGUCCAGACUCCUACGGGAGGCAGCAGUGGG
This 350-nucleotide ribosomal RNA is filed under the name uncultured Pseudomonadota bacterium. RNAcentral describes it as "bacterial SSU rRNA". It matches the Rfam family "Bacterial small subunit ribosomal RNA", at positions 1 to 358 of the family's 1533-position model. The record is from RNAcentral. Lineage: Bacteria; Pseudomonadati; Pseudomonadota.